This 337-nucleotide long non-coding RNA is filed under the name Monodelphis domestica (gray short-tailed opossum). Its description in RNAcentral is "lncRNA (ENSMODG00000041942.1)". Lineage: Eukaryota; Metazoa; Chordata; Mammalia; Didelphimorphia; Didelphidae. The record is from RNAcentral.
GACUCCAUCCUGAGAUAAGAAAAUGGAGACAAACAGGAUUAAGUUACAGAGUCUCACAGCUGGAAAGUAUCAUGUCUUUCUAACUUCAGGCCUGGCACUCUAUCCACUACACCACCUAGUCACUAUCUCCAGUCUGGUGAAGUCUAUGAACCCCUUCUUAGAAUGAAGAUUUGAAGUGAUUGAAGAAAAUGUUAAUUUUCAUUUCAAGUGGGCAACCAGAGUAAAUCCUGGGUAAGGCCACACAGACCAAAGUGGACCAAGGAUAAAAUGACAUCAGUUCUUUGGAAACAACAGGGAAACAACCAUCCAAACAAAUGACCCCUUCCUUAGUAAGUAA